UUAAAUUGAAGAGUUUGAUCAUGGCUCAGAUUGAACGCUGGCGGCAGGCCUAACACAUGCAAGUCGAACGGUAACAGGAAGAAGCUUGCUGCUUCGCUGACGAGUGGCGGACGGGUGAGUAAUGUCUGGGAAACUGCCUGAUGGAGGGGGAUAACUACUGGAAACGGUAGCUAAUACCGCAUAACGUCGCAAGACCAAAGAGGGGGACCUUCGGGCCUCUUGCCAUCGGAUGUGCCCAGAUGGGAUUAGCUAGUAGGUGGGGUAACGGCUCACCUAGGCGACGAUCCCUAGCUGGUCUGAGAGGAUGACCAGCCACACUGGAACUGAGACACGGUCCAGACUCCUACGGGAGGCAGCA
Molecule: ribosomal RNA, 358 nt
Filed under: Escherichia coli O113:H21 str. 07-4224
Lineage: Bacteria; Pseudomonadati; Pseudomonadota; Gammaproteobacteria; Enterobacterales; Enterobacteriaceae
Description: bacterial SSU rRNA
Rfam family: Bacterial small subunit ribosomal RNA
Source: RNAcentral